RNAcentral lists this ribosomal RNA (229 nucleotides) under uncultured bacterium. RNAcentral describes it as "partial 16S ribosomal RNA". It matches the Rfam family "Bacterial small subunit ribosomal RNA", at positions 568 to 796 of the family's 1533-position model. The record is from RNAcentral.
CGCGUAGGUGGGUAUGUAAGUCAGAUGUGAAAUUCCGGAGCUUAACUCCGGAACUGCAUUUGAAACUGCGUACCUUGAGGGUAGACGGAGAAAGUGGAAUUCCACGUGUAGCGGUGAAAUGCGUAGAUAUGUGGAAGAACACCUGUGGCGAAAGCGACUUUCUAGUUUAUUCCUGACACUGAGGCGCGAAAGCAAGGGGAGCAAACAGGAUUAGAUACCCUGGUAGUCC